GACGAACGCUGGCGGCGUGCCUAACACAUGCAAGUCAACUUGACUGAAGGAGCAAUCUGACAGUAGAGUGGCGCAAGGGUGCGUAACGCGUAAGUAACUUGCCCCAAGGUAAGGAAUAACGUCGAGAAAUCGGCGCUAAUACCUCAUAAUGCAGCGGAUCCGCAUGGAUAUGUUGUUAAAGGUUUACUGCCUUGGGAUAGGCUUGCGUCUGAUUAGUUAGUUGGUGUGGUAACGGCACACCAAGGCUACGAUCAGUAACUGGUCUGAGAGGAUGAUCAGUCACACUGGAACUGAGACACGGUCCAGACUCCUACGGGAGGCAGCAGUGAGGAAUAUUGGGCAAUGCUCGAAAGAGUGACCCAGCAACGCCGCGUGGAGGAUGAAGGUAUUCUAUAUCGUAAACUCCUGUGAGAGCAGACGAAAGACAGAUUAUUAAUCUGGAUGACUGUAUGCUCAGAGGAAGCCCCGGCUAACUACG
RNAcentral lists this ribosomal RNA (478 nucleotides) under uncultured bacterium. RNAcentral's name for it is "bacterial SSU rRNA". It matches the Rfam family "Bacterial small subunit ribosomal RNA", at positions 28 to 505 of the family's 1533-position model. The record is from RNAcentral.